CCUACGGGAGGCAGCAGUGGGGAAUCUUGCGCAAUGGGCGAAAGCCUGACGCAGCAACGCCGCGUGCGGGAAGAAGGCUUUCGGGCUGUAAACCGCUUUCAGCAGGAACGAAAAUGACGGUACCUGCAGAAGAAGGAGCGGCCAACUAUGUGCCAGCAGCCGCGGUGAUACAUAGGCUUCAAGCGUUGUCCGGAUUUAUUGGGCGUAAAGAGUUCGUAGGCGGUCAAGUAAGUCGGGUGUGAAAAUUCUGGGCUCAACCCAGAGACGCCACCCGAUACUGCUUAACUUGAGUUCGAUAGGGGAGUGGGGAAUUCCUAGUGUAGCGGUGAAAUGCGCAGAUAUUAGGAGGAACACCGGUGGCGAAGGCGCCACUCUGGAUCGAUACUGACGCUGAGGAACGAAAGCAUGGGUAGCAAACAGGAUUAGAUACCCUGGUAGUCCAUGCCGUAAACGGUGGGCACUAGGUGUGGGUUUCUAUUAACGAAAUCCGCGCCGUCGCUAACGCAUUAAGUGCCCCGCCUGGGGAGUACGGUCGCGAAGACUAAAACUUAAAGGAAUUGACGG
RNAcentral lists this ribosomal RNA (564 nucleotides) under uncultured bacterium. RNAcentral's name for it is "bacterial SSU rRNA". It matches the Rfam family "Bacterial small subunit ribosomal RNA", at positions 338 to 916 of the family's 1533-position model. The record is from RNAcentral.